GCACUCACCGCUCUGCUCUCCCAGGAACACCAGCUUGAAUUUCCUCAGCGGAUUCCCGAAGUCUCCGCCCGCGGACAUGAUGGAGCCGGAGGAGCCGCCGCCGCCGCCUCAGCCCAGAGACCUCUUCCAGACCGCUGCAGCUCCAACCCGCUAACGAAGAGGGCCGAGCUGAAGGGGCAGCCUCCGAGUCCUCUCGGCCCCUGCAGGGCCGGGCAGAGGGGCGAGGCUGAAGGGAGAGUGCCUCCACCGACCGGCAGCCGCCGCCGCCGCCUCCCCGCAGAGUCGCCUAGCACCGAGCCGGGCCCGCGGCCGCGAAGGGACGCAGGGCGGUGUCGGAGGCAGCCAGCGGUGCGCUCGGGCUUCGCUAGCCUAGCGCCGUUCCUUCCCUCAGAACGCGGCGCGGAGACUGAGGUGCUGGGUGUGUGGACCAAUACUGUUUCUAAGCAAGGCUUUUCCCUCCUAAGGUUCAGAAGUUUGGGAGAGAAUCCCAUUUUUUCUGCAGGUGGUAUUCUGUGGACCAGUCGGCACUACAAGACAAAGCCCACUCGUGGCAUCGGAAGAUACAGACACUUGGUGAAAGUGCAGGAGCCCAAAAAGAAGAAAGCAAAAGUAGAACUGAGAGCCAUUAAUGUGGGGACAGAUUAUGAAUAUGGGGUUUUAAACAUCCACCUGACAGCAUAUGACAUGAGUCUGGCAGAAAGUUAUGCCCAGUAUGUCCACCGCCUCUGCAACCGGCUGUCCAUCAAAGUCGAGGAAAGCUAUGCGAUGCCUACCAAAACCAUGGAAGUGAUGCGACUGCCAGACCAAGGCAACAAAAUGGUCCUAGACUCCAUCCUUACCACCCAUGAGCGAGUGGUGCAGAUCAGCGGUCUGAGUGCUACAUUUGCAGAGAUUUUCUUGGAAGUACUCCAAAGCAAUCUUCCAGAAGGAGUCAGAUUGUCCGUGAGGGAGCACACUGAAGAAGACUUCAAGGGAAGGUUCAAAGCUCGGCCGGAACUGGAAGAGUUGUUGGCCAAGUUGAACUAAAAAUACUGCAAGCCCUUCAUGUGAUUGUUGGUCUCCGAGAAGCUGCUCCUGCAAGAUCAGGGUUAAGGAGGAGCGUGAAUGCUCGUGCUGGGAAUGCCUCCUUGCAUCUGUGCCCCGGGCUUGCCAGUUACCACUUCCCAUAACAAAACCUAGGACCUUCUCCACCUAAUAAAUGUCUGCUGUUGCCAGUGUGUGUGUGUUUGUGUGUGUGUGUGUGUGUGUGUGUGUGUGUGUGUGUGUGGCUUUGGCUGUGUGUGUUUAUCAGUUAUCUUGUGAGGUAUCUUUAAGGAAUUCUGUUUCUCUUUGUCUGAACAUGUUCUCAUCCUACCAUACUGUUUUAGAGUGAAUUCAUUCUCUAAAACAGUCUGAUGUAAACUGAUUGUUUGUUUGAGACACUGUCUAUCUGUAGCCUUGGAACUUACUAUAUAGAUGGGGGUAGUCUCAAACUCACAGAGAUCCACCUGCCUCCUUUCCCCCAAUUUCCACCCUCCAAAUGCUGGGGUUAAAGGUUGUAUGCCAUUGUGCCCAAUAUGAACUCAUCUCUUAAAGUAAUACUACAGCAUGGAGGUUUAUGAUUAAGUAGAGAUUGCAACAAAAGCAAACUCUGUAUUGGUCUAUUUUUUGUUGCUAUAAUGAAGUUCCUGCAUCUGGGUUCUUUAUAAAGAAAAAGGGUUUGACCAAUUGUAAUAGUACAUACCUGUACGUUCAGCACUUAGGAGGUGGAGGAUUAGAGUUCAGGGUCAUCCACAGGUACAGAGUGAGUUCCAGGACAACUUGGGUCACAUGACAUACAUACAUACAUAUAUACAUACAUGCAUACAUACAUACAUAAAAGAUGCUUGCUAAAUGUGAUUGCAUGUAUCACCCCAGCAUCCAGGAGCUUGAAGCAGGAGGAUUGCAAGUUUAAAAUAUUGAGGGGAAGGAAAUCUAACAGCAAGCUCUUGCAAGCUGUGAGUGAAUCACCAGCUGCCAACUCCCCUCAAAAGUCAUAAUCCCACCAUACAGACCAGAAAACAAGUUGUGUGAAGUUACAGUAGCUUACCAAGGAGAACAACUCACAAGUUUUCUUCCGUAGAAGGCUGGAUACAACAUGGGCUGUCUGCUUCCCCUUAUAAAGGUUGUCCUAAGGAGGAAGGGGCAGAUGUUUCAAGCUGGAGCUAGAUGUGUGCUCCAUUGGGUUUCAUUAUAUGUGACCCUAAGAGAGUCUGUUUCUCCUCAGCCCUCGCUGCAGAACCCAGUGAAGCUUGUGACUGUAGCCUCGAAGAUCUAUUGGUCAGACUAUCUCCCACCCCUCUUACCAGGUAAACAAAUGUUAAGAGCCAUUUCCAUUUCUCAGAGCAGAGUAACAGAAGCCUUUUGAUUCUAAGAGGAGGAUACAUCAUGAACUAGGUCAGUGCCACAAGUUCUCCAAAGUGACAGAAUCCAGUCGCUUCCUGCUUACGAGAUAAGCCUGACUCACCCCUCAGCCGUGAUGGGAAGGAAGCCUCAGACUGGGAAACAGGACCGAAUCCUGCUGCCACUCUGCCAAGAGAUGUCCUGUGACCUUGGGCAAAGCAUGCUCUCUAGAGCCUUAGCUUCUCUUUACUCAGAGUCCUGUGGGCUGGCUAACUAGUUCCUAAGUAUUUCAGCUGCAGUGUGUUGUCAAUAAAAUCCCAAGUCCUGCUCCCACAUACUGGUAAAUAGCAAGUCUGGGUAACCAGAAGACUCUGCCAGGUUCUGAAAUGGAGCGCAUGUGACACUGCCCGUGUGCAUUGGGAGCAGAGCAGUGCAUAUAUGUGUGUGUGUGUGUGUGUGUGUACACAUGUGCAUACAGUUAUUUACCUGUGAAUCUUCACAUUGUUAUAUACCCUGAACUUUGCUCUCAUUGGCCAGAUACUGUUAUUUUAUUUUCCUGAUAGAAAUUCAGCAAUAAGCAGUUCUAAUCCAGAACAUCACUCUGCACUUGAGAAAUUCUGCCUAAAAGAGUUCACAUGGGAAAUCCUGACCUGCUGAGCAUGGUACUUGAAUUCAGUUGUUACCCCCACCCCCACCCCUCACCAAACUACUAGCCUUAGUGGUGUUUUUAGUUUUUUGGUUUUGUUCUGUUUCGAGGUAAGAGUCUUAACAUGUAGCCUUGGCUGGCCUGGACUGGCAAAAUGCUUCUGUGUUUGCAGACACAUACUUGCCCCAAGAGACUGGUAAGGGAAUAAGAGCUACUGUGUACCUUGCACAAGGUCUAGCUCAGUAAGCAGCUAUUCUACAUGAAGACACAGAUGCUCAGAAGCAAGCACACCAGAGUCACCUGGAUUAUAUUCUCAGAGAAGCAACCCAGCAGCAACAUCUGAGAAAUGAUAAGAUUCAAAGAUGUGGAUUCUGAAACGGUGUAUUUUAGUCACAGAGAAAAGGAGUGAACCACUUUGGCCUUUUGGGAACUGCAGCAGUACUGAGCCUCUGGUCUUCCAUUUCUAGGACUAGUGGAUUUAGGGAAGGAGUGAUGUUCCAGUAUGUAUUGGCAUGAGCUAGACCUGAUAGAUGCUGUAGGCAGAAGUGGACAAGGACUUGUGCUUGUUUUUUCUGUGCUUACAUUUCUCUGUGCUGUUUUUAAUCCAGAUGCCUAUAUCACCUGGCUGCUGCACCUCCCUGUAAUAACUCAUUCUCAGACCUUUUUGCUCACUUCUGGGACAUUCCUUUGCAGAUAGUACCCAGAUUAAAAAAGAAUGAAUUCUUUAGAAUAAUAGUUGCUAAGCAGGAGAAGAUGGUUCCCUACUUCCCUGCAGCCUUAAUGCCUGGCUGGAGCAGAGGAGGGAGCCCUGGCUUUCUCUGCAGAGGAGAUGUAUACAAUUUCAGUUUGGAUUCACUCCAGUUCUCUUUGGGUUUCUAAAGUCAGCAGCUCAAGGAUGCAGUCUGGCCACUUCACUGCGGGUGGGCAGGAGGGAAGAGGACCUUACUCAUCUAGCAAAAUGCACUACAGUGCGUCUUUAUACCAAGCACAAGGCCAAGUCCCCAGGCAAGGACCUUGCAGGGAGGAACUAACACAUGAGUCUUCCCUAAGCCUCUUGAAGAGGGCCACCCGGCUAAGAAGUCCUGUAAUCAGAGUAUUAGGGAAAAGUUCCCCAACUCUAACAACUCCAGCAGGCUAGCCUUGACAACCCAUCCCAAUGAGACAAUUAGACUAACGGCCGUGAAAAGGUAGGGGUGAUUUAGUACAGUGGAAAGAGGAGCCUGUUUGACUUUAUGGACUGACAUGGACUUUAGGUUUAAAUAAAAGCAUUGGGGCAUAAUUAAGUAGAUCUGUUCACAGUCUGGUCUCCUUGAUCUUUGUCUCAGCUCUAGUUCUGUAAAGUGGCUUGAAAAAAUCUUGGGGCUAGAGAGGUGGUUCAGUAGUUAAAGGCGCUUGUUGCUUUUGCAGAGGACCUGGCUUUAGUUCCCUGCACCCACAUUGUGCCUCAAACAAAAGCAACGCCAGUUCCAGGGGAUCUGAUGCUCUCUUCUGGCCUUGGUAGGCACCAGGCCCACACAAACACAUACAUGCAGGCAAAACUCUUAUGCA
RNA transcript from Mus musculus (house mouse), 4555 nucleotides. It is a transcript of the gene named mitochondrial ribosomal protein L48, with no coding region annotated. The record is from RefSeq and is marked validated. NCBI's taxonomy places the organism in Eukaryota, Metazoa, Chordata, Mammalia, Rodentia, Muridae. The transcript has 8 exons.